CCGUCGUUCACUUAAAAGAGCCGGCUCUUUGAGCCGGCUCGUUCGCGACCGACACAUCACUAACAACUACCUCUCUGUCUGACUUCGCCAAGCAGAUUCCAAACCAAAGCAAGAUCAAACAGCACUUUUUCUAGUUCUUCUCUUCUCCCUACUCAGAGCUAUAUUCCCUACAUUUCUUCCUGUCUUCUCCCCAUUCUUACCAUCUUCAUCUCUGUCUCUUUACCACUUUCUCUUUUGUAUUUAUAAGCACACACACACACUAAUUGAUGUUCCUGAAAUGGCUGCUAAACAAGGCGAGGGACAGCUAGAAGACGCCAUUUUCCUUGCCGAUUUACUUUGUAAACAACUAAAGGAGGAAGAAGACAGGGCCAGAGCAGCAUCUAGCAGGAGCAGAAUCCGCUGGGUAGGCAAAGAUGCUCAGGGGUGUCCUCUAACAAGGAGGAGCAGAAGUGGGGCAACCUGCCGACGUACUAAAGUCAGAACUGUUGCCAUUGACAGUCCAGUGACUGUGGAACCAGCGGGAGCAACCUCUGCAGUACCCCCUCAGCUUGUUGGUAGGAUGACAUUUACUAUCAUUGAAAGUUAGGAAAUGUGUCAACAUAAUCAAACGAAUACGUGAUGCAAUAUGAUUACGCUGUUGUGAU
Long non-coding RNA from Gymnodraco acuticeps, 644 nucleotides. RefSeq lists it as uncharacterized. NCBI's taxonomy places the organism in Eukaryota, Metazoa, Chordata, Actinopteri, Perciformes, Bathydraconidae. The transcript is spliced from 4 exons. The record is from RefSeq and is a predicted model, not a curated record.